Long non-coding RNA from Cucumis melo (muskmelon), 674 nucleotides. RefSeq lists it as uncharacterized. NCBI's taxonomy places the organism in Eukaryota, Viridiplantae, Streptophyta, Magnoliopsida, Cucurbitales, Cucurbitaceae. The transcript has 2 exons. The record is from RefSeq and is a predicted model, not a curated record.
ACCCACGCCACCAUAGCGCUCGAUCCCACCAUACUCCCAUUUCGAGAGAAUCCAAUUCCAAUCCAUUGGUGAUUAUUCUUCCCUGAUAAAACGAUCGUCGUCACGUUCUGACCGUCCUGGUAAAACUGCAUUCAACCAUCAAAAUGGAAAACUUCUGUUGCCAAAUGUGGGAGCAAGAUAGGCUGGAGAGAUCAGAAUAUGGUGGAGGAAGAAUGGUUCUGAGAUUCGUAUUGCAGGUUGCCGAAGGAUUGGCCGUGUUGGAAUAGGCGAUGACGGCUUUGAGAUUGAAUCCGACGAUGGAUAUGAAGCAGAAGAGUGAAAAGAGGAGAAGUUUGUUUGAAGAAUAUGAAAGUGCCAUUUUCUUAAUUUCACUUUCUUUGUCUCUCUAAUCCUCUCUCUCUCUUUACACAGAAAGCUUGCUUGAGAUAGCCAUUAAUGGAAGCACACAUUUUUUGUUCAAACAAGUGGAAGGUGGAGAAGGAAAAAGGGCAUUGGAUCACGCUUGACCAUUGUACUCAUCAACCCAAGGAUUUUGGUUUGUGGAUUACUAAACUUACUAUUUUCUUUUUGUUUAGAAUUUGUGGAUAUAUUUCUACAUCUUGAAAGUUUCAUCUUUACCCUUAACGUUACCUUUGUUUCAAAUAAUGCCCUUUGAGAGUGUUUUAUCUGAUAAA